AGAUUGAACGCUGGCGGCAUGCCUUACACAUGCAAGUCGAACGGCAGCACGGGAGCAAUCCUGGUGGCGAGUGGCGAACGGGUGAGUAAUACAUCGGAACGUGCCCAAUCGUGGGGGAUAACGCAGCGAAAGCUGUGCUAAUACCGCAUAAGAUCUACGGAUGAAAGCGAGGGGAUCGCAAGACCUUGCGCGAAUGGAGCGGCCGAUGGCAGAUUAGGUAGUUGGUGAGGUAAAGGCUCACCAAGCCUUCGAUCUAGUAGCGUGGUCUGAGAGGACACCAGCCACGACGUGGGACUGACGACACGG
RNAcentral lists this ribosomal RNA (306 nucleotides) under uncultured soil bacterium. RNAcentral's name for it is "bacterial SSU rRNA". It matches the Rfam family "Bacterial small subunit ribosomal RNA", at positions 26 to 329 of the family's 1533-position model. The record is from RNAcentral.